RNAcentral lists this ribosomal RNA (581 nucleotides) under Koenigia polystachya (Himalayan knotweed). RNAcentral's name for it is "eukaryotic LSU rRNA". The stretch from base 204 to 357 matches the Rfam family "5.8S ribosomal RNA". The record is from RNAcentral. Lineage: Eukaryota; Viridiplantae; Streptophyta; Magnoliopsida; Caryophyllales; Polygonaceae.
GCGUAACAAGGUCUCCGUUGGUGAACCAGCGGAGGGAUCAUUACCGAGUUUACAACUCCCAAACCCUUAUGUGAACCGUACCUAUCGUUGCUUCGGCGGGAACGCCCCGGCGCCCUGCGCCCGGAUCCAGGCGCCCGCCGGAGACCCCAAACUCUUGUGUUUUUUUCAGUAUUCUCUGAGUGGCAAACGCAAAAAUAAAUCAAAACUUUUAACAACGGAUCUCUUGGCUCUGGCAUCGAUGAAGAACGCAGCGAAAUGCGAUAAGUAAUGUGAAUUGCAGAAUUCAGUGAAUCAUCGAAUCUUUGAACGCACAUUGCGCCCGUUAGCAUUCUAGCGGGCAUGCCUGUCCGAGCGUCAUUUCAACCCUCAGGGUCCCCGUUCCGGCGGGGAACCUGGUGUUGGGGAUCGGCCCGCCCCGUGCGGCGCCGUCCCCCAAAUUCAGUGGCGGUCUCGCUGCAGCCUCCCCUGCGUAGUAGUUACAACCUCGCAUCGGAGCUCAGCGCGGCCACGCCGUAAAACCCCCGACUUUCUGAACGUUGACCUCGGAUCAGGUAGGAAUACCCGCUGAACUUAAGCAUAUC